GACGAACGCUGGCGGUGUGCCUUAUGCAUGCAAGUCGCACGGAUCCGCAAGGAUUAGUGGCAAACGGCUGAAUAACACGUAAGCAACCAACCCUACAGUGGGGGAUAAUCCGCCGAAAGGCGGACUAAUACCGCAUUCGGGCACCUCUCACAAGAGAGGCGCUGAAAGCCGCAAGGCGCUGUUGGACGGGCUUGCGUCCUAUCAGGUAGUUGGCGGGGUAACGGCCCACCAAGCCGAAGACGGGUAACUGGUCUGAGAGGACGGCCAGUCAGACGGGGAC
Molecule: ribosomal RNA, 280 nt
Filed under: uncultured bacterium
Lineage: Bacteria
Description: partial 16S ribosomal RNA
Rfam family: Bacterial small subunit ribosomal RNA
Source: RNAcentral